GUGCAGCAGGCGCGAAACCUCCGCAAUGCGGGAAACCGUGACGGGGCCACCCCGAGUGCCCCCUUACGGGGGCUUUUCCCCGCUGUAGGAAGGCGGGGGAAUAAGCGGGGGGCAAGUCUGGUGUCAGCCGCCGCGGUAAUACCAGCCCCGCGAGUGGUCGGGACGAUUAUUGGGCCUAAAGCGCCCGUAGCCGGCCCGGCAAGUCCCCUCCUAAAUUCCCGGGCUCAACCCGGGGACUGGAGGGGAUACUGCCGGGCUAGGGGGUGGGAGAGGCCGAGGGUACUCCCGGGGUAGGGGCGAAAUCCUAUAAUCCCGGGAGGACCACCAGUGGCGAAGGCGCUCGGCUGGAACACGCCCGACGGUGAGGGGCGAAAGCCGGGGGAGCGAACCGGAUUAGAUACCCGGGUAGUCCCGGCUGUAAACGAUGCGGGCUAGGUGUUGGGUGGGCUUAGAGCCCACCCAGUGCCGCAGGGAAGCCGUUAAGCCCGCCGCCUGGGGAGUACGGCCGCAAGGCUGAAACUCAAAGGAAUUGGCGGGGGA
Molecule: ribosomal RNA, 540 nt
Filed under: uncultured archaeon
Lineage: Archaea
Description: bacterial SSU rRNA
Rfam family: Archaeal small subunit ribosomal RNA
Source: RNAcentral